RNAcentral lists this long non-coding RNA (202 nucleotides) under Manacus vitellinus (golden-collared manakin). RNAcentral's name for it is "lncRNA (ENSMVIG00005001897.1)". Lineage: Eukaryota; Metazoa; Chordata; Aves; Passeriformes; Pipridae. The record is from RNAcentral.
GAACAAUCCUACAAUCUCCAGUUCAUGUCAAGAAGUACUCAAGAUAUUCUGGUGGAAUUCCACAGCUACUUAAACCAAGCAGUGUCUAUUUUGGAAUGGAUGGAAAACAACUCCAUUGCCUCAGGUCUUUUAAAACAAGUCAGAAAGUCAAGAAAAGAGGAAAUAGUAUUAAAGAUGAGAUAAGCUUAUUUUCCCAUGGCAC